This 899-nucleotide ribosomal RNA is filed under the name epsilon proteobacterium ectosymbiont of Rimicaris exoculata. RNAcentral's name for it is "bacterial SSU rRNA". It matches the Rfam family "Bacterial small subunit ribosomal RNA", at positions 588 to 1494 of the family's 1533-position model. Lineage: Bacteria; Pseudomonadati; Campylobacterota. The record is from RNAcentral.
UUGGAAGUGAAAUCCUAUGGCCAACCAUAGAACUGCUUCCAAAACUGUUUAACUAGAGUCUGGGAGGGGAAGAUGGAAUUAGUAGUGUAGGGGUAAAAUCCGUAGAGAUUACUAGGAAUACCAAAAGCGAAGGCGAUCUUCUGGAACAGUACUGACGCUGAGAUGCGAAAGCGUGGGGAGCAAACAGGAUUAGAUACCCUGGUAGUCCACGCAGUAAACGAUGAAUGUUAGUCGUUGGGUCUCUAGUAGAUUCAGUGAUGCAGUUAACACAUUAAACAUUCCGCCUGGGGAGUACGGUCGCAAGAUUAAAACUCAAAGGAAUAGACGGGGACCCGCACAAGUGGUGGAGCAUGUGGUUUAAUUCGAAGAUACGCGAAGAACCUUACCUAGCCUUGACAUAUAAUAGAAUUCACCAGAGAUGGAGAAGUGCCUUCGGGAGCUAUAAUACAGGUGCUGCACGGCUGUCGUCAGCUCGUGUCGUGAGAUGUUGGGUUAAGUCCCGCAACGAGCGCAACCCUCGUUCUUAGUUACUAACGAUUCGGUCGAGGACUCUAAGAAGACUGCCUUCGUAAGGAGGAGGAAGGUGAGGACGACGUCAAGUCAUCAUGGCCCUUACGGCUAGGGCAACACACGUGCUACAAUGGUUAGGACAAUGAGAAGCAAUAUCGCGAGGUGGAGCAAAUCUAUAAACCUAAUCUCAGUUCGGAUUGUAGUCUGCAACUCGACUACAUGAAGCUGGAAUCACUAGUAAUCGUAGAUCAGCUAUGCUACGGUGAAUACGUUCCCGGGUCUUGUACUCACCGCCCGUCACACCAUGGGAGUUGAUUUCACCCGAAGCGGGGAAGCUAAACUGGCUACCCUCCACGGUGGAAUUAGCGACUGGGGUGAAGUCGUAACAA